This 495-nucleotide ribosomal RNA is filed under the name uncultured bacterium. RNAcentral's name for it is "bacterial SSU rRNA". It matches the Rfam family "Bacterial small subunit ribosomal RNA", at positions 30 to 518 of the family's 1533-position model. The record is from RNAcentral.
UGAACGCUAGCGACAGGCUUAACACAUGCAAGUCGAGGGGUAACAGGGUAGCAAUACCGCUGACGACCGGCGCACGGGUGAGUAACGCGUAUGCAACCUGCCUAUAACUGGGGAAUAGCUCCCUGAAAGGGGAAUUAACACCGCAUAACACUAUUGAUUCGCAUGGAUUAGUAGUUAAAUGUAGCGAUACAGGUUAUAGAUGGGCAUGCGUGACAUUAGCUAGUUGGUGAGGUAACGGCUCACCAAGGCUACGAUGUCUAGGGGUUCUGAGAGGAAGGUCCCCCACACUGGUACUGAGACACGGACCAGACUCCUACGGGAGGCAGCAGUGAGGAAUAUUGGUCAAUGGGCGCAGGCCUGAACCAGCCAUGUCGCGUGCAGGAAGACUGCCCUAUGGGUUGUAAACUGCUUUUAUAGUAGAAGAAACACAUCUACGCGUAGAUGUCUGCCAGUAUACUAUGAAUAAGCAUCGGCUAACUCCGUGCCAGCAGCCGC